GGGCGAGUGGCGGAAUGGUAGACGCACCGGACUUAAAAUCCGUUGGGGUGAGUAACCCCGUACGAGUUCGACUCUCGUCUCGCCCA
Molecule: transfer RNA, 86 nt
Filed under: Gloeobacterales cyanobacterium ES-bin-313
Lineage: Bacteria; Bacillati; Cyanobacteriota; Cyanophyceae; Gloeobacterales
Rfam family: tRNA
About the family: Transfer RNA (tRNA) molecules are approximately 80 nucleotides in length. Their secondary structure includes four short double-helical elements and three loops (D, anti-codon, and T loops).
Source: Rfam by way of RNAcentral